Molecule: ribosomal RNA, 460 nt
Filed under: uncultured bacterium
Lineage: Bacteria
Description: partial 16S ribosomal RNA
Rfam family: Bacterial small subunit ribosomal RNA
Source: RNAcentral
CCUACGGGUGACAGCAGUGAGGAAUAUUGGUCAAUGGACGAGAGUCUGAACCAGCCAAGUAGCGUGAAGGAUGACUGCCCUAUGGGUUGUAAACUUCUUUUAUAUGGGAAUAAAAUGUUCCACGUGUGGGAUUUUGUAUGUACCAUAUGAAUAAGGAUCGGCUAACUCCGUGCCAGCAGCCGCGGUAAUACGGAGGAUCCGAGCGUUAUCCGGAUUUAUUGGGUUUAAGGGGAGCGUAGGUGGAUUGUUAAGUCAGUUGUGAAAGUUUGCGGCUCAACCGUAACAUUGCAGUUGAAACUGGCAGUCUUGAGUACAGUAGAGGUGGGCGGAAUUCGUGGUGUAGCGGUGAAAUGCUUAGAGAUCACGAAGAACUCCGAUUGCGAAGGCAGUUCACUGGACUGCAACUGACGCUGAGGCUCGAAAGUGUGGGUAUCAAACAGGAUUAGAUACCCCUGUAGUC